This 5922-nucleotide long non-coding RNA is filed under the name Triticum aestivum (bread wheat). RNAcentral describes it as "long non-coding RNA (TAES_LNC005745)". Lineage: Eukaryota; Viridiplantae; Streptophyta; Magnoliopsida; Poales; Poaceae. The record is from RNAcentral.
UAUGAACGAAGUAAAUUAUGGAACUCGCGGCGGAUCUUCCUCAAGUAUGUACAGAUAUAAAUAAAAGAUUGACGUGGGAUCUCGGUGCAUUUUAUUUUCUUGAUCAAAAGAGAGGCCCCCCUCUCCGAUUUCACUAAGAGAAACCAAGGUUCACAGCUACUACUAGGGUUUUUGUUACCCCGCACACGACAUACUAUCUUACAUGACCGGGGAUUACGACGAACCCCAGCCCAGCACCUCAAAAGGAUCGUGCAAGAUCUGAAAAUAAAAGCAGAGCACCCACACAACACUUCAGACACAGCAUACAGUAGUUGGAAGCAAAGCCUAGCACAUCAUAGCUAAAGCAAGAACUAGAUAACGGCUGAGACAGCAGCAACGACGAAGAAGGUAAGCCACUGGGAAGACGAUCGGGACCUCAGCGCAUGCUCAUACAUGAUCAAGCAUCGACGGAUGCAAUGUUGGUGGCAUCGUUGCAGAACCGGCCGCACGCAUCGCCGCAGCGCCCCACGCCGACUUUCGUGUCUUCGCCAAGCUCAGCUGAUGACAAGAUCAAGAUAUGUGCAAUGCUCAUUCCAAACCGAAAAAAAAACUUUUCCCUCUUAUGAUAAAUUGAAAGUUAUAUAUACAGAUGAUGAGUUAAUUCAGAUACUACCUGAAUUGACGUUGUCACAGACUGAGAGCCUACAUCCUAAUUUGCAGUACUCAAUGGCGUCUGGUUCUUCUUCCGCAACAGCAGGAGCAAGCAUUAGUCAACCAGCCGUUAAUUGCAAUUUCUAUGCAUCUGGGAGCAAAAUGAUGUAGAGAAAACAGGAAGGGUGGCUUGGGUUCACGUACCAGCUGAACCGGGGAGAAGGUUGAGCUUAGGGUAUUCCCUGGGGCAUGUGCUGUCCCUUGUGAGCACACAGCCACACAUUUUUGAGCAGGGAGUACUGGGGUGCACAAGAAGGCACACGUUGUAACAGUUUCUUGACCUGGUGUCUCUGCAGCAGCUCUUGCCCUCUGCUACUUGGAUUUGUCCCUGGACAAGCAGUCCCAGUAUCAGUAUGAGUGCACACAUGAUCACGCUCUUGAAAUGCUUGCUCUCCAUGGCUGCCUUCCCUGCUGCGAAAACGCACAGGAACAAGACUCGUAUAUAUGGCCCCAAUUUAUAGGAGACGAUGCUCCGCAUGGGCAGUAAUUGUUGAGAAGUGAUAUGCAUGAAUGAGCCGUGCUCCGCUGAGAGCCACGUACACGGUUGAGAUCGUCUACGUGUGCGCUGCGUGCCCUAGGCGAUUAUGCGGUGCCCGCUAACUCCUACCUGCCUCGUGCAUUAAGUUUUCACGUGCAGCUCUUGUGCCAUGGCCGACUAGGAUGUUUUUAGGUGUAUUUUACUUUACUCUUGUGUUAUGGACAGAUACGUGGCCACUCGACCGGUUGUCCUCGUCGACGGUACCUCGCCCAGAAGAUGCCUACUCUCCAUCCUCAUUAGCUUCCGUGUUCUUCUUCUUUUUUCUUUUCUCUUAUUUAUUUUUCAAGAAAACUUCCGAUAUAUUCAUCUGCAAUCAUGGCACUACAACAAACAUCUUAAAUAAUAAAAAUUAUAUCCAGAUCCGUAGACCACCUAGCGACGACUACAAGCAUUGAAGCGAGCUGAAGACGCGCCGCCGUCAUUGCCCCUCCCUUGCAGGAGCUGGACAAAACUUGUUCUAGUAGACAGUCGAAAAAUCGUCGUACUAAGGCAACCGCCGCCGAUGAAGAGAGUAGUGUAGAUCGAAAGAAUUCAAUCUGAAAACACAUGAACAUAGACGAACUAUGAUCAGAUCCGAGCAUAUCCAGCAAGAACAGAUCCGCCGGAGACACACCUCCACAUGCCCAUCGAUGAUGCUAGACACACCAUCGGGAGGGCAGGCUGGGAGAACCUUAUUCCAUCUUCAGGGAGCUGUUGUCGUCUCGUCUUCUUGAAUAGGACACAAACUCUAACAAAAUACGAAGGAACAACUGAAAACAAAGCCCUUCCCCAACAAGGGCCGAGAUCCACCACACCACCAUGGCCCUAAAACCAUCGCAGACGACAUGUACCGACGACAGUACCAGCAGGAGGUGGGGGAACCCUAGACCAGCAAUUUUGUGGCCCAAGUUAGCACCUAGGAAAAAUUCUUCUUCUACUACUUCUUCUCUCUUAGGCUGCCCGUAAUGGAAGUAUCAUACUCCCUCCGUCCGGGUUUAUUGGGCCCCUGGGCGGAGGGAGCUCGUCCGCUCUUAUUAGGCCCCUUAAUCGAUAUGGCUGCCAAAAGCAGAAAAUGCUUCGUUGCUUUCUCGAUCUCCUCAGCCGCGGUUCAUCUUCCGAAGCGCAUUAAAUUUCCAUCCGCUGGCAUGCAGAAGAAGCUGCUAUACAUUGAGCGGACUAGUACUCCUAGCACAACGCCACAACAGUAGUCCCAGGAAAGAAACCAGCGUCUCGCCGGCCGGAUGCAGCGAUGUACCAGCAAUGUCGUCGCGACCGAAGGCGGAGCACAGCGUCGACGUUGAUCCGGACGCGGAGACCCAGUCCGGGCUGGGCUUGGACGCGUCGCCGACCAACCUCGCCGCUGCUGGGCACGCAGAGCUCGGUGUCCAUGGUGCGUCGCUGGCGGAGCACAGCGUGGACGUCGAUCCGGACGCGGAGACCCAGUCCGGGCUGGGCUUAGGCGCGCCACUGCCAGACCUCGUCGCUGCUGGGCACGCAGACCUCGGCGUCCAUGAUGCGCCGCAGGCCGAGCACGACAUGAAGGUCGCUCCCGACGCGGAGACCCAGGCGGAGCUGGGCUUGGGCGUCCAGGACAUGCAGGUAUGUAUGCAUGCCUUAUCCAGGGAUCAUGGUGAUGUUUAGUCGGUGCAGUUAGGCCGGCCAUGGUACUUAGCUUUUGUAGGAUGAAUAGCAAACGAUGCAUGCUCCACCCUUGUCUUUACAUGAUGGCUACAUGCAGGGCGGCGUGCUGGACGUGGGGCAGGGCAUCCUCGCGCAUGCCCACGACGUGCUCGACGUCGCGUAGGGCAUCCUCGCGCUCGCCCAGGAGGGUCCAGACCUUGGGGCGCUGCUGGACCAGGUGGAGGCUCUCAUGGACACCGUCACGGCGCUCGUCGACGACGCCACGGCAUUGGUGAACCAGCGACCGGGUGUGCUCGGCAGGGAGGAGGGAUUCGUGGUGCCAAGGAGGACUGCAUUCGGACUGAAGAGAGUUGAACACGCCAAGAUCUAGGGCGUUAGUGUCCGGAGAAUUAGGUGGCUGCAUCACAACCCUAAUGUCCCAACCACCUUGAGCAGCUGCCGCACACACCGCCGGAUCAUCUGGUCGAACAUGUGUCUUGGCAUUGUCCUGUUGGAUGAAAAUAGGCUUGUACCGAUCCUCUUGCGGCCACUUCUCCUUGAUUGCCGGCAACACCUUCGUGAUCAAGUAUUCCCGGCUCUUCUCCAUGCCGACUUUAUCGCAUGGCUUGAGCUCCAACGUUCCUCUAGGCCUGUUUGGGCUUCUCCUCUGUGAUGGUUUCCACUCAACAUAGGGCCAAAUUCCAAUUUUACCAUCAAAAGUACAAUUGCCUUGCAUAUCAUAUCUUGGCCUAGCAACAGCAGCAAGAAACAUGAUCUUCUCAAUGUGUCCCUUGUUUUUGGCGUGCCUCACGGGGUUCGGCUCGUUAAUGCCCAAAUAAACCCCCUGGGUUUUCCUUGUACGAUAAAACCACUUUUCAUCAAUAUGGACCACAUUAAACGAAUCCUUGAAGACAGGGUUCUCCGGCAUACUAGCGGGUUCUAGGUUUGAAAGGCAAUACAUGACACGAGCUUUCUUGUUUUCUUCCGCUAGCAUAGGCUUGAGCUCGUUGGUGUGUUUGCGUAACUCAUGCUCCUUCAAAAGCCUGUGAACGGUGGUCUUCGCCAUGUUCAAUGCACCGGCAACAUCUCUAAUUGUUGUUCGAUCAUUCGGAGGGACGGCGGCUAAAGCAUCUGAGUCCAAUGUAACACGCUUUCUACCAACUCUGCCCGGCCGCUUGUUGAUAACCGCAUUCACACCACCUCCUCUCCUACCAUUAUCCCAUAUCCGCCGAAGAACCCUAACUGACACUUUAUAUAGAGCUGAUAUUUUCUUAGUCACCCCACGUUUCAAUGGACCACGUCCAUUUAUCUCCAAAAUGGCCGUAUACAGUGAACGCUUUUCGUCAUCAGUAUGAAAUGUCCUUCUUUUCCUAUUGGCCAUCACAUCUGGGAACAAACAUAAGAGUAGAAUUUUGUUAAACAACAAGUGUGAAAAUAAGUGUUCAUACAUCUGGGAACAAAUAUAAACAUUAUAAAAAAAUACCUAUUGCUCAUUCUGUAAAGUUGCAGGAAAUAUACAUGUGCAAAAUCCAUCUAUGAAACCGAUAAAAAAAUAUACGUACUGUUCCAUUGCAUAUUCGAACUAAAAAAUAAGUGUUCAUACACAAAGCAAGCAAACCUACUUAGAUCGAUGAUGUUGUUGGUCUCAUGAUCUUCAGCGUUCUGGUCCGUGCCGUCUCCUUCUUCCUCGACGUGCUGGUCCAUGCCAUGUCCGUGCUCCUCGCCGUGCUGGUCCAUGCCGUGGUCGUCCUCGCCGUGCUGGUCCAUGUCGUGGCCGUCCUGGCCGUGCUGGUCCGUACCCUGGCCAUCUUCCUCGCCGUUCUGGUCCGUGCCGUGGCCUUCUUCCUCGACGUGCUGGUCCAUGUCGUGGCCGCCGUACGCGCCGCCAUCGUGAGAACGGAAGGCGCCGCCGUCGUGGGCACCGUACGCGCCGCUGUCGUGUGCAUAGUACGCGCCACCGUCGUGGGCACCGUAUGCGCCGCUGUCGUGUGCACAGUACGCGCCGCCGUCGUGGGCAUCGUACGCGCCGCCGUCGUGUGCACAGUACGCGCCGCCGUCUUCGUGCCUUGUGAACCAACGACUGCCCCGCCAGCCGGACAUACUACCACUGGAGGAGCUCGCCACCGACGGCAACCGACCAGCAAGACCGAGACGAAGAUGGCGUUCAGCGCCGGACGAGCUACCUAUGUCGCGAACGGCAGCGUGUCCUCCCCCGAGGAGCGCGGGGCUGUGCUCGCAGCCUUGUCCACGGCCAGGCGAUGAACCUAUGGAUGCAGGAAAACGCCCACACCGGCGUACACGCCCGGAAAGACCGAGGCGUAGCUGGCCUUGCCCGCAGCCGGCAUGACCAAGACCUGGCCGGCCUUGCCCGCGGCCGUUGCCGGCUUUGUGGCCGAUGUAGAAACAUAUAAUAAGUUCAGGCAAUCACCGGAGCCUCUCCGGUUUACUAAAUACUACUCCCUCCCUCCGUUCACCAUUAUAGGAUGUUCUAACUUUUUUCUGAAACAGAUGUAUAUAGCCGUAUUUUAGUGUAUUUGUUCACUCAUUUCAGUCCAUAUGUAGUCCAUAUUGAAAUAUAAAAAAUAUCUUAAUAGUGAACGGAGGGAGUAGAAGAUAAGGUUUAGAAGUGCUCCUCUACUGAGUAUGAACGAAGUAAAUUAUGGAACUCGCGGCGGAUCUUCCUCAAGUAUGUACAGAUAUAAAUAAAAGAUUGACGUGGGAUCUCAGUGCAUUUUAUUUUCUUGAUCAAAAGAGAGGCCCCCCUCUCCGAUUUCACUAAGAGAAACCAAGGUUCACAGCUACUACUAGGGUUUUUGUUACCCCGCACACGACAUACUAUCUUACAUGACCGGGGAUUACGACGAACCCCAGCCCAGCACCUCAAAAGGAUCGUGCAAGAUCUCAAAAUAAAAGCAGAGCACCCACACAACACUUCAGACACAGCAUACAGUAGUUGGAAGCAAAGCCUAGCACAUCAUAGCUAAAGCAAGAACUAGAUAACGGCUGAGGCAGCAGCAACGACGAAGAAGGUAAGCCACUGGGAAGACGAUCGGGACCUCAGCGCAUGCUCAUACAUGAUCAAGCAUCGACGGAUG